GAGUUUGAUCCUGGCUCAGAUUGAACGCUGGCGGCAGGCCUAACACAUGCAAGUCGAGCGGAUGAAGGGAGCUUGCUCCUGGAUUCAGCGGCGGACGGGUGAGUAAUGCCUAGGAAUCUGCCUGGUAGUGGGGGAUAACGUCCGGAAACGGGCGCUAAUACCGCAUACGUCCUGAGGGAGAAAGUGGGGGAUCUUCGGACCUCACGCUAUCAGAUGAGCCUAGGUCGGAUUAGCUAGUUGGUGGGGUAAAGGCCUACCAAGGCGACGAUCCGUAACUGGUCUGAGAGGAUGAUCAGUCACACUGGAACUGAGACACGGUCCAGACUCCUACGGGAGGCAGCAGUGGGGAAUAUUGGACAAUGGGCGAAAGCCUGAUCCAGCCAUGCCGCGUGUGUGAAGAAGGUCUUCGGAUUGUAAAGCACUUUAAGUUGGGAGGAAGGGCGAGUAAGUUAAUACCUUGCUGUUUGUACGUUACCAACAGAAUAAGCACCGGCUAACUUCGUGCCAGCCG
RNAcentral lists this ribosomal RNA (511 nucleotides) under uncultured microorganism. RNAcentral describes it as "bacterial SSU rRNA". It matches the Rfam family "Bacterial small subunit ribosomal RNA", at positions 9 to 514 of the family's 1533-position model. The record is from RNAcentral.